Molecule: transfer RNA, 72 nt
Filed under: Ictidomys tridecemlineatus (thirteen-lined ground squirrel)
Lineage: Eukaryota; Metazoa; Chordata; Mammalia; Rodentia; Sciuridae
Description: Spermophilus tridecemlineatus (thirteen-lined ground squirrel) tRNA
Rfam family: tRNA
About the family: Transfer RNA (tRNA) molecules are approximately 80 nucleotides in length. Their secondary structure includes four short double-helical elements and three loops (D, anti-codon, and T loops).
Source: Rfam by way of RNAcentral
UGUGCUGUGGCUCAGUGGUAGAGUGCUUGUCUAGCAUAUGUAAGGCAUUGGGUUCGAUUCUCAGUACCACAU